This 1262-nucleotide ribosomal RNA is filed under the name Halomonas icarae. RNAcentral's name for it is "partial 23S ribosomal RNA". It matches the Rfam family "Bacterial large subunit ribosomal RNA", at positions 1 to 1318 of the family's 2925-position model. The record is from RNAcentral. Lineage: Bacteria; Pseudomonadati; Pseudomonadota; Gammaproteobacteria; Oceanospirillales; Halomonadaceae.
GGUCAAGCGAUGAAGCGCAUACGGUGGAUGCCUAGGCAGCCAGAGGCGAUGAAAGACGUGGAAGCCUGCGAUAAGGCUCGGCGAGGUGGCAAACAACCUGUGACCCGGGCAUCUCUGAAUGGGGAAACCCACCCACGGUAACGUGGGUAUCCCGCACUGAAUACAUAGGUGACGGGAGGCGAACCAGGGGAACUGAAACAUCUAAGUACCCUGAGGAAAAGAAAUCAACCGAGAUUCCCCCAGUAGCGGCGAGCGAACGGGGACCAGCCCUUAAGCCGGUGACUGAUUAGACGAACGCGUUGGGAAGCGCGGCCAUAGCGGGUGAUAGCCCCGUAGUCGAAAAUCUGAUCCGGUGAAAUCGAGUAGGUCGGGGCACGAGAAACCUUGACUGAAGACGGGGGGACCAUCCUCCAAGGCUAAAUACUCCUGGCUGACCGAUAGUGAACCAGUACCGUGAGGGAAAGGCGAAAAGAACCCCGGAGAGGGGAGUGAAAUAGAUCCUGAAACCGUAUGCGUACAAGCAGUGGGAGCAGACUCGUUCUGUGACCGCGUACCUUUUGUAUAAUGGGUCAGCGACUUAUUUUCAGUGGCGAGCUUAACCGUAUAGGGGAGGCGUAGGGAAACCGAGUCUUAACUGGGCGACCAGUCGCUGGGAAUAGACCCGAAACCGGGCGAUCUAUCCAUGAGCAGGUUGAAGGUUGAGUAACAUCAACUGGAGGACCGAACCCACGUAUGUUGAAAAAUGCGGGGAUGACUUGUGGAUCGGAGUGAAAGGCUAAUCAAGCCCGGAGAUAGCUGGUUCUCCUCGAAAGCUAUUUAGGUAGCGCCUCACGUAGCACCGCCGGGGGUAGAGCACUGUUUCGGCUAGGGGGUCAUCCCGACUUACCAACCCGAGGCAAACUCCGAAUACCGGUGAGUGACGCGUGGGAGACACACAGUGGGUGCUAACGUCCAUUGUGAAAAGGGAAACAACCCAGACCGUCAGCUAAGGUCCCCAAAUCCUGGUUAAGUGGGAAACGAUGUGGGAAGGCUCAGACAGCUAGGAGGUUGGCUUAGAAGCAGCCAUCCUUUAAAGAAAGCGUAAUAGCUCACUAGUCGAGUCGGCCUGCGCGGAAGAUAUAACGGGGCUAAACCAGGUACCGAAGCUACGGGUUCAUCGAAUGAUGAGCGGUAGAGGAGCGUCGUGUAAGCCAAUGAAGGUGAGUCGAGAGGCUUGCUGGAGGUAUCACGAGUGCGAAUGCUGACAUGAGUAACGACAAGGG